AGGAGCUUGCUCCUUUGACGUUAGCGGCGGACGGGUGAGUAACACGUGGAUAACCUACCUAUAAGACUGGGAUAACUUCGGGAAACCGGAGCUAAUACCGGAUAAGAUUUUGAACCGCAUGGUUCAAUAGUGAAAGACGGNCUUGCUGUCACUUAUAGAUGGAUCCGCGCCGUAUUAGCUAGUUGGUAAGGUAACGGCUUACCAAGGCAACGAUACGUAGCCGACCUGAGAGGGUGAUCGGCCACACUGGAACUGAGACACGGUCCAGACUCCUACGGGAGGCAGCAGUAGGGAAUCUUCCGCAAUGGGCGAAAGCCUGACGGAGCAACGCCGCGUGAGUGAUGAAGGUCUUCGGAUCGUAAAACUCUGUUAUCAGGGAAGAACAAACGUGUAAGUAACUGUGCACGUCUUGACGGUACCUGAUCAGAAAGCCACGGCUAACUACGUGCCAGCAGCCGCGGUAAUACGUAGGUGGCAAGCGUUAUCCGGAAUUAUUGGGCGUAAAGCGCGCGUAGGCGGUUUUUUAAGUCUGAUGUGAAAGCCCACGGCUCAACCGUGGAGGGUCAUUGGAAACUGGAAAACUUGAGUGCAGAAGAGGAAAGUGGAAUUCCAUGUGUAGCGGUGAAAUGCGCAGAGAUAUGGAGGAACACCAGUGGCGAAGGCGACUUUCUGGUCUGUAACUGACGCUGAUGUGCGAAAGCGUGGGGAUCAAACAGGAUUAGAUACCCUGGUAGUCCACGCCGUAAACGAUGAGUGCUAAGUGUUAGGGGGUUUCCGCCCCUUAGUGCUGCAGCUAACGCAUUAAGCACUCCGCCUGGGGAGUACGACCGCAAGGUUGAAACUCAANGAAUUGACGGGGANCCGCACAAGCGGUGGAGCAUGUGGUUUAAUUCGAAGCAA
Molecule: ribosomal RNA, 900 nt
Filed under: Staphylococcus pasteuri
Lineage: Bacteria; Bacillati; Bacillota; Bacilli; Caryophanales; Staphylococcaceae
Description: bacterial SSU rRNA
Rfam family: Bacterial small subunit ribosomal RNA
Source: RNAcentral